CACGUAGGCGGCUCGGCAAAUCGGUCGUGGAAUCCCGACGCUUACCGUCGGAACGGCGGCCGAAAAUACCGGGCUCGAGGGCGUGAGGGGUCACUGGAACUCCUGGUGAAGCGGUGAAAUGCGUAGAUAUCAGGAGGAACGCCGGAGGCGAAAGCGAGUGACUGGCGCGUUCCUGACGCUGAGGUGCGAAAGCUAGGGGAGCAAACAG
This 208-nucleotide ribosomal RNA is filed under the name uncultured bacterium. RNAcentral describes it as "partial 16S ribosomal RNA". It matches the Rfam family "Bacterial small subunit ribosomal RNA", at positions 568 to 775 of the family's 1533-position model. The record is from RNAcentral.